CAGGAAGGUUACCACACAUUCCGCGGAGGAUUUUGGAAUUACUUUAGUAUGGGGAUGGAUGCAGAAAUAUCUUAUGCAUUUCAUUCCGAAAGGAAGAGAAAUCCAGAGAAAUUCAAAAAUCAGCUGACAAAUCAGGGACAAUAUGCUAAGCUCGGACUUAAACAAGGAUGGUUUUGCGCUUCUCUAAGUCAUCCGUCUUCGAGGAAUAUUCCUCACUUUGCAAAGGUGAAGGUUAUGAAAAAGCCUGGUGGCCACUGGGAAGAACUACAGAUUCAUCACAGCAUUCGAUCAAUCGUCUGUGUGAACCUACCUAGUUUUUCUGGAGGUUUGAAUCCAUGGGGCGAACCUGGUGCAAGGAAAAUAAAUACGGAGUUCACGCUGCCUUACGUCGAUGAUGGCCUUAUUGAGGUUGUCGGGUUCCGCGAUGCUUGGCACGGGCUGGUUCUGUUGGCUCCUAAUGGGCACGGCCAUCGCCUUGCACAGACCCACAGGAUCCGCUUCGAGUUCCACAAAGGCGUGGUGGACCACACGUUCAUGAGGGUCGAUGGGGAGCCGUGGAAGCAGCCCCUCCCAAAGGACGAUGACACUAUUGUCAUUGAGAUCUCACACCAAGGCCAGGUGACCAUGCUAGCAAACGAACCCUGCAAGUCAAUGAGCCUCAGUGACCCGUUGUCGUCACACGGCCACAGCGACCACAGUGACGAACACAAGAACGACGUGGAUGACGAGGAGUGGGAGGAUGGCAGGAGGAAGUUUGGGGCCGCGGAAACCUUCAAGCUCCCUGAUGAGAUCGACAUUGCUCAUCUCAGCUGA
Molecule: ribosomal RNA, 813 nt
Filed under: Triticum aestivum (bread wheat)
Lineage: Eukaryota; Viridiplantae; Streptophyta; Magnoliopsida; Poales; Poaceae
Description: partial small subunit ribosomal RNA
Source: RNAcentral